This is a long non-coding RNA of Oncorhynchus tshawytscha (Chinook salmon), 7484 nucleotides long. Lineage: Eukaryota; Metazoa; Chordata; Actinopteri; Salmoniformes; Salmonidae. The record is from Ensembl.
CCCCACAGGCUCAUGUUGCGGCCACAUUUAUGCAUUAAAAAAAACAUUGUGGGUAACUCGUCAUAUGUUUGUAAAGGGACCGAGACACAUACAUCGAUAUUCAAUACAGAUAUUCAAAAUACAAUGGAUGAAUUCAAACAUGAUUAUAUUACAUUAUCUUUUGACCUUUUCGACUGCUCUAUUGAAUGUAUCUAAUGUUAUUUAUUUGGAGCUGUUCACAAGAGCUAUGGAGAGCUCUAGUGAAAGGACGUCAUCAAGGAAGUUUUGUAUCCAUUGAAUUAUGCUAAGUUAUGUGGAGGCUUCCAUCUGGUCACUAACAUCCUUUUUGUCACAGUCAGACCAGACAACCACACUCAUUUCUGGGAUACUGUGAGAGUCAGUGAAGAGUCAUUGUUCAACAAUAAUAUAUUGGGGAGAUAGGGAAUGGGAACACCAACUGUGCUCGGUAGAGAACUGGCAACCUGUGACCAAAAGGUCUUCACACUGGGGCAGUCCCACAUCAUUUACACGUAAGUUCCAAUAUUUAUUUGAGAACACAACAGACAAUUUGGAAUAAGAGCAAGUUCAAAUUGGCAGCGUUUCCACAGAGUCAAAUAUACUCUGUGAAUGAAUUUGUAGUGUAUUGGCUGAUGACUCAAAUUUCGGGAAGAAACUGGAAUAUUGUUAUUUUCCAAUAUGUAUUUGGUUUGUAGUCUUUUCAAUCUGAUUUCCAUACUGUAACUAUUCCCAUUGGUUUAUGUAGAGCUUCUAGGUAGUUUUUCUAUAUAGAUUGGAUAGAAAACCUCCACUUGUGUUCUGGCUACCUAAAACUCAAUGAGUGGCUGAAAUGGGAGUGGUUGACUCCAUAGGACUCAUAAGUUCUCAUGGCGGUUCUUAUCUGGAAAAAACAAACAAAGACCAACUAACCAAAUCAUACACAUUUUUGGGGGGUCAUGAAAGGAUAAUAAACCUUCAUUAAUCAGCGGCAGGGUAGCCUAGUGGCUAGAGCGUUGGACUAGUAACCAAAAGGUUGCAAGUUCAAAUCCCUGAGCUGACAAGGUACAAAUGUGUCAUUCUGCCCCUGAACAGGCAGUUAACACACUGUUCCUAGGCUGUCAUUGAAAAUAAGAAUUUGUUCUUAACUGACUUGCCUAGUAAAAUAAAGGUAAAAAAAUAAAUAAUAAUAUUUCCAAAAGUGUAUGAAUUCCUUGUUCAGACCAUUGUUUAAAAAUGAUAGGGUUUCCUCCCAAAAGUAAGGAGUUAUUUCUAAAUAUUGGUGUUUGUGUAUGGACUAUUGCACUUCCCGAUUACCAAGUUUUUCAAUUUGUUGCCAGGUCCGUAUUGAGUGGCCGAUGAUUGGUCCAAACUGAGAACAGCAAAACUUAGAAGAUAAGGAAGAGAAUAGUUAAUAUUUCAGUGUAUAUUUUCCUAUAUUUCAAACCAAGGAAGACAUUUACCUUGAUCAAACCAUUUCUUAAGUGGGCGGAGCACUAGAGACAAAACAUGUAACUUGAAGUUGGGUUAACCUAGACCCUCAAAACCUUUGGGUUGACGUUUCCCUUUUCACAUAACAUUCAAGACUGAAAUUUGAAUCUUGACAAAUCUUUCUUUAAAAAAGUAUCUUCACUCAGACUGCUUUUAACAAAGGUGUAAUGGUUUUCUUCCUCUUCUGAUGAAGAAUAGGAUGGAUCGGACCAAUGCGCAGUGUGGUAAGUGUUCAUGUUAUAUUUAUUAGAACAGAAACACGAAACAAAAUAACAAAGAGAGUGAAAUGAAACAGUCCUGUAAGGUGCAGCAACACAAAACAGAAUACAACUACCCACAACCCAUAGUGGGAAAACAGGCUGCCUAAGUAUGGUUCUCAAUCAAAGACAAUGAUAAACAGCUGCCUCUGAUUGGGAACCAUACCAGGCCAAACACAGAAAUACAAAAACAUAGCACAACACACAGAAUGCCCACCCCAACUCACGCCCUGACCAAACUAAAAUAGAGACAUAAAAAAGGAAUAAAGGUCAGGAUGUGACAAAAGGCCUGAAAUUCACAGAAUUCUACAUUUUCUUGCUAACAUUUUGCUGCGCCUGAACUAAAGUCUUUAAUGAAUGAAAACUGGUGAUUUGAGAGGACAGAAAAAAUGUGUUUGGUUUAUAAGUCUUCGAUAGUCAUUGUUUCAUAAAACAAUUACUUUGAGAUCAAUUACAUUUUGUACAAUUCAUCUUUUUUUACUGAAAUUAUUAAUACAGGACAUGACAGAACAUAACGUUACAGCUACUGUCUGAUCUCUAACAAAUAGAUUAAACUGACCCCUGUCUGUCUGUCUGUCUGCCUGCCUGCCCGCAUGGCUGCCUUGUCCAUCCGUCUGUCCUUCCGUCCAGCCCUUCAUCUUGCUGCCCUGCCCUGGUAUGAAUCCCAGAUGUUUGGUCUGAAGGGGAAGGAUUUAACUUAGAGUCCUUUCAACGUGGUCAAUGUGGUUUUGUAAUUAAACCCAUACAAUUAACACUGACAAGCACAGGUCAUGGAGAGCAAGGCGCCUCUCUUCAAAUGGUCCUCCAUCACUCAAAGGGAGAAAAAGAAAGGGGGGUCAUAGAGAGAGAGCGAGCGAGAGAGUAGAGGGAGAGUAGAGGGAGAGAGAGAGAAAGAGAGAAAGAGCAAGAGAGAGCAAGAGAGAGAGAGAGAGAGAGAGAGAGAGAGAGAGAGCAAGAGAGAGCAAGAGAGAGAGAGAGAGAGAAGAAAAGGGCAGCCAGUGGAGCACACACACCAUUGUAAAUACAACCUAUAUUCAUCUGUUUAUUUAUCUUACUCGGCUUCUUAUGGAUACAGGCUGUGUUUGAAGUCUAUGUAGAAGAGCUCUACAAGUUAACCUCAAAACCACAGUGACCACACAGAUUGAGUGUUCCAUAUUUUGGUUGAUAUCCAGUUUCAGUACAUCAAAGAGAUUCAAGCUGUUGUAGCUGUUGUAGCAAAGUACAACCCAAGCAUCCAAAUUAAGCCCAUCUAAACUUUUGUGGUAAUGUAUAUCAUAUACCUUUUUUGCACUAUUGGUUAGAGCCUGUAAGUAAGCAUUUCACUGUAAGGUCUACACCUGUUUUAUUCUGCGCACGUGACAAAUAAACUUUGAUUUGAUAUCAAUGUUGACUAAGGAUUCAAAAAGUUAAUUGAUGACAGUAAUUCAAUAGUUACGUUCCUAAUUAAUGAACAAAUAGUAGGCCUACUCCUUACAAUACUUAGUAAACAAUGAUGUGCACUAAAAUAGUUAAAUUCAGUGUUUAAAAACAACACAUCAUUAGUUUAAUUAUUUUUGUACUUAUCACAACGAACAGCAAUAAUCAUAGUAUCAUCCUGAAAAACACUUCAACAAAAUGGUGCAGCAUAUCAACAUUUUAAUGUAUUGAUUUGAUACUGUUGAUUUCAGUCAUACAACAUCUGUUUUGAGAGGAGAUGUUUCAAAGCCUUUAAGGCUAAGUGGAUUUAAUCUAAAAUUCAAACUCCAUUUUCAGUUAGAGACUCAUUUGUUUUUUAAAAAUAUCCUUACUACUGCGAUACAUACUUAAAAAAUGUUGCAAAUAAAUAAAUUCUAUGACCAAGUACAUUUAAAAUAUUUAGUUAGUUUCUCACACUGUGUUUGACUGUUAUACAUCCUUUGGUCCUUCUUGUUGUUUUGUAGUAAUACAUCAGUCAGUAUGGCACUGUGUCACUUGGGCUAAUUUUGUUUUAUUUGUAGUAUUUGUAUUGGUUUUUAGCCUGUCCAAAGACUACAGAUGAAAAUGAGACAUUUUGUUAGGCCUAUUGUAACUAAUUCAUUCUUUAACGUAUUAGUUAUUUAAUAUUUUAAGAUGUUAGUUACUGUGCAUUUUCUCUAUUAAUAAAUACAUGUUAGAGAAACGAUGAUUAAUAAACUACAAAACAUUAUAUUCAUGUGAAAACUAAACAUGUGCUAAUCCCAGGGCUCUAUUCUGUCCGUGUCGUGGAAAUUCAACACUAAUGUCCAAUUCAAAUUAAAAGUCAAUGUUUCCUCAUUGGUGGAGACUGCAUUCACGGUCAACUCUGCAUAUGUCGGCUCAAUCGGAAAUUACCUUUACAUUUCUAUCGCUCAGUCUGUAACGCUUCAACAAAAUUGAUUGAAUAGAGCCCUUAGUUUUCAGAAAGAACUAGCCCGGUUUUGCUUGCAUAUUAAUCAAUAUAUGAUAAAGGGGAAAUGAGGAGUUAAGCGCAUCCUAUGAUGUUAUCUCCUGGUUGCACUAUUAUCAUUUAUUUUCUCAUCUUUUAUUUCACAUUUCAACCAUGACACUAGUCUGUGCACACACACAAAGUACUCCUACAUUUCUCUCUUUAGUCCUCUAUAAAACCCAACUGUACUCCUAAAACGUUGUUUCUCAGGGCUCUAAUCAAUCUGUAAAGCUGAAGGGUUACAGAUUCCGCAAUAUAAAUGUAAAGGUAAUUUCCGAUUGAGUCGACAUAAGCAGUACUUACCUUGAAUGCAUUCUCUGCUAAAGAGGGAACAUUGCCUUUACAUUUCAAUCACGCUAUAAAGCUGAAUUUACGCAAUGUGGAUUGAAUAGAGCCCUUAUUAGUCUGCUGAGCAAGCGGGCUUCAGGUAAAUGGGAGUAAAAGCCCUUUCUACAGAGUGCACAGUUCCCUCAGAGCUAGCCAAGCAUGUCAUUAUAAUAGAUCUCUUUCACCCUCCCACACCAUUGGACACACGGAUGGGCCAGUCCUCAUUAUUCAGGAACUAAAUGAAGAGUUGGUACUUGGGUGGCCGUCUGUGCCACUUGAAAGCAUUUGAUAGACUGAAGUAAAUGGCCCACUAAUUGAUAGAGAAUCAAAAAGGGAAAAUUAAACAUUCAAGAGACAUCUGAAAAACGUUGCCCCUGAAGGAAACACAUGCUCGAAGAAAGAAAGCAGCUCAAGUGUUACAUGGAUAUUAUUUCUAAAGUACUGUAGUGCCGAUUGAAGAAGUGUCCAGACAUAGGUUACCUAAUAGUAGCGUGACAUUUGAAAGGAUCAAAAAGGACAUUUUUGAAAAGAGAGAAGAGAUCAUGUUUUUUAAAAGCCAAAAUACUAUUUUACCUCGUUCAUAAUGUAAAUCACAGAAAGGCUUUGGAAAUACUGAAAAGCUUUUUUAUUUCUAGAAAAACAUUUAUUUAGUCACUAACAUAAUGUAGGUUAAACCAGAUUAUAAUAAAACACUAGAUUUAAAAUCUCUAAACUAUUUUUUUGAAACUACAUGUAUUAAAAAGCAUCAAUGAAUAUAUAUUUUGGAUGAAAUGAAAAUCAAGAAAACUGCUUGUCCCAGAGCAGAGUGGGGCCAUGUUGUUAGCAUGUGUUACUCAUAUCUCUGGGCCUGACGGAUAUGGAUACUAUUGAUAUAUACAUAUUAAUAUACUUAUACCAUACACUUGAAUUUGUUCUUUAGAAAGAGGAGAGGUGCUGAGUCAUUUCUGGUGGCUGAGAAUUCUAUGAUGACAUUACUCUAUACAUAACUGAAAGACACAUUCAUUAAAUCAGUUUUUGGUUCGGGUACCAAGAAGAAACUCAUAGUGGCGGGAGAGAUAAAGAGUGGAGAAGGGUAGCGCUGGUGUCCUGUCCUUUGGCACUUUCUACAGCAUGGCAUCCCACUUACUCAGCACCCCGCGGUACAACAAACACACGUACUGGUCAUGGAAUCAUACACACACACACACACACACGGUUCCAUCCAUGGAGUAACAACACACAGUGCACUCCGCCAAUCAAAACAAAACUACAACUGAACACACACAGGCAAGGAGUCAAGGGACAGUAAAACACACGGAUACAUGCACGUACACACACACACACACACACACACACACUCACACACAAAGCCUUUUUGUGGGUAGAGGGAUAUUCUAGGACACACUGUAGCGAGGAGAGGGACACUGGAUCAGAGUGGGACAUGUGUUAGGUAUAUGAGAGACAGGGAUACAGACCCAGAGCAAAGGGACAGGGAGGCACAUAACACAUGUCAGGAACAGAGGGGAUACACACACACACACACACACACACACACACACACACACACACACACACACACACACACACACACACACACACACACACACACACACACACACACACACACACACACACACACACACACACACACAAGGCCAAGCCAAUUAACACCUUGCCAUAACACAGAUCAUGCUAGGAAUCCAUGAAUGCCAUAAGAGAGAGAGAGAGUGAGAGAGUGCACGAGGAUAAGCAAGGCAAAAAUUAUAUUAUAUCACAGAAAGGAUAAUCAUAUACCAUGGCAUUGAAUACUCUUUUCUGAUUGGCUUGAAGGGCAUUCUAGAGCGGGCAUUAUUUCCAGGCGAUGAGAGUGGAGCAGUAGUGUACGUUUCUAUGGGCCAAUCUCUUCACUCCCUGAAGUUUGGCUGAAAAUCCAGAAGAUGGCAACAUACAUCUGGCUGAGGCACAAGGUGGUGGGAGCGUCCUAGUGGAGUCUUUCUCGUUUAUUUGUGUUCCCCUCCAAUUUCUCUGAGCUGAGCUGUCUCAUUGAUUCUCGGUGGCCCCUGGUCGGGAAUUCACACCACAGACCCGAGGACACUCAUCCACUGGCUUUAUUUAGAGGUGAUGCUCUCUCUCACUCUCUCAUAUUCUCUCUCUAUUUAAUCUUAAUGCACUCUUUCACUAUCUCUGUCUUUCUCUCUCUUAUAUCUGUAUCUGUCCCUUUUCCCUCUCUUCCUCUCUCAAUUCAAUUCAAAGGGCUUUUUUGGUGGUUGGAACCAAAAAUCAAAAAAUGUCCACCGGUCAUCCAUUGCUCGUGUUUCUUGGCCGAAGUGAGUCUCUUCUUCUUCUUGGUGUCCUUUAGUAGUAGUUUCUUUAUAGCAAUUCGACCAUGAAGGCCUGAUUCACACAGUCUCCUCUGAACAGCUGAUGUUGAGAUGUGUCUGUUGGGCUACAUUCUGAGGCUGGUAACUCUUAUGAACUUAUCAUCUGCAGAAGAGGUAACUAUUUGUCUUCCUUUUCUGUGGCGGUUCUCAUGAGAGACAGUUUUAUCAUAGCGCUUGAUGGUUGUUGCAACUGCACUUGACGAAACGUUCAAAGUUCUUCAAAUUUUCCGUAUUGACUCAUGUCGUUUCUCUUUGCUUAAUUGAGCUUUUCUUGCCAUAAUAUGGAUUUUGUCUUUUACCAAAUUGGGCUAUCUUUUGUAUACUCUCCCUACCUUGUCACAAAUGCAUUAAGAAAGAAAGAAAUUCCACAAAUUAACUUCUAACAAGGUACACCUGGUAAAUGAAACACACUUCAGGUGACUACCUCAUGAAGCUGGUAGGGAGACUGCCAAGAGUAUGCAUAUCAGUCAUCAAGACAAAAUAUAUUUUGAUUUGUACAACACUUUUUUGGUUACGACAUGAUUGUGUUAUUUCAUAGUUUUGAUGUCUUCACUAUUAUUCUACAAUGUAGAAACUAGUGAAAAUAAAGAAAAAUGCUUGAAUGAGUAGAUGUCCUAAAACUUUUGACCAGUAGUGUACCCCAACAUUUGUAUC